This 781-nucleotide ribosomal RNA is filed under the name uncultured Sphingomonadaceae bacterium. RNAcentral's name for it is "bacterial SSU rRNA". It matches the Rfam family "Bacterial small subunit ribosomal RNA", at positions 557 to 1332 of the family's 1533-position model. The record is from RNAcentral. Lineage: Bacteria; Pseudomonadati; Pseudomonadota; Alphaproteobacteria; Sphingomonadales; Sphingomonadaceae.
GGCGUAAAGCGCACGUAGGCGGCUUUGUAAGUUAGAGGUGAAAGCCUGGAGCUCAACUCCAGAAUUGCCUUUAAGACUGCAUCGCUUGAAUCCGGGAGAGGUGAGUGGAAUUCCGAGUGUAGAGGUGAAAUUCGUAGAUAUUCGGAAGAACACCAGUGGCGAAGGCGGCUCACUGGACCGGUAUUGACGCUGAUGUGCGAAAGCGUGGGGAGCAAACAGGAUUAGAUACCCUGGUAGUCCACGCCGUAAACGAUGAUAACUAGCUGUUGGGGCUCAUAGAGUUCCGGUGGCGCAGCUAACGCAUUAAGUUAUCCGCCUGGGGAGUACGGCCGCAAGGUUAAAACUCAAAGGAAUUGACGGGGGCCUGCACAAGCGGUGGAGCAUGUGGUUUAAUUCGAAGCCAACGCGCAGAACCUUACCAGCCUUUGAAUCCCUGGUGCCCGGAUCGCCAGAGAUGCUUUCCUCCAGUUCGGCUGGAUCAGUGACAGCUGCUGCAUGGCUGUCGUCAAGCUCGUGUCGUGAGAUCUUGGGUUAAGUCCCGCAACGAGCGCAACCCUCGUCUUUAGUUACCAUCAUUAAGUUGGGUACUCUAAAGAAGCCGCCGGUGAUAAGCCGGAGGAAGGUGGGGAUGACGUCAAGUCCUCAUGGCCCUUACGCGCUGGGCUACACACGUGCUACAAUGGCAACUACAAUGGGCUGCAAUCCCGCGAGGGGGCGCUAAUCUCAAAAAGUUGUCUCAGUUCGGAUUGUUCUCUGCAACUCGAGAGCAUGAAGGCGGAAU